CAAGAGGGAGUGGACAUCUCAGAAGAGAGGCGAUGCCCUACAUCCUGGACUCCAGGCUGGGGAGCAGCCCCUUGGUCUGCAAACAAGUAGCACAGGCCCAUCUUACUGGCCCGUCUCCCAGAUGGCCUUGAAGAUGAAGAUGUAGCAGUAGACGAUGACAAGCAGGGGCAGGAAGAAGACGAAGCAGAAGAGGAGCAGCGUGUAGGCGCGGAAGGACGGCGUGAAGCGCAUGUAGUCCCAGGAGCACGAGGUGGAAACACUGAGGCUUCAGGGCCAAGCAGACAGCUCAAAGGGCUGUAGCACGUGUUGUGUGCACAUGAGGCCCUGAGUUCAAUAUCCGGUCCCACAUGGCCCCAUGAGCACUGCUGGGUGUCACCCUGGAGGCUCCUGAGCACUGCUGGGCCUGAGCAGAGCUGCAUCAGUGCGCCAGAGCACUGAACUUUCAGGACCAGUAGGCCAAGUAUU
This is a long non-coding RNA of Sorex araneus (European shrew), 465 nucleotides long. RefSeq lists it as uncharacterized. The transcript has 3 exons. NCBI's taxonomy places the organism in Eukaryota, Metazoa, Chordata, Mammalia, Eulipotyphla, Soricidae. The record is from RefSeq and is a predicted model, not a curated record.